This 30-nucleotide non-coding RNA is filed under the name Mus musculus (house mouse). The record is from RNAcentral. Lineage: Eukaryota; Metazoa; Chordata; Mammalia; Rodentia; Muridae.
UCACAGAGAUUUGCCUUUCCUUACUUUCCC